ACUCCUACGGGAGGCAGCAGUGGGGAAUAUUGCACAAUGGGCGCAAGCCUGAUGCAGCCAUGCCGCGUGUGUGAAGAAGGCCUUCGGGUUGUAAAGCACUUUCAGUUGUGAGGAAAGGUUAGUCGCUAAUAUCGGCUAGCUGUGACGUUAGCAACAGAAGAAGCACCGGCUAACUCCGUGCCAGCAGCCGCGGUAAUACGUAGGGUGCGAGCGUUGUCCGGAAUUACUGGGCGUAAAGAGCUCGUAGGUGGUUUGUCGCGUUGUUCGUGAAAACCCUGAGGCUUAACCUUGGGCGUGCGGCGAUACGGGCAGACUGGAGUACUGCAGGGGAGACUGGAAUUCCUGGUGUAGCGGUGGAAAUGCGCAGAUAUCAGGAGGAACACCGGUGGCGAAGGCGGGUCUCUGGGCAGUAACUGACGCUGAGGAGCGAAAGCGUGGGGAGCGAACAGGAUUAGAUACCCU
This 462-nucleotide ribosomal RNA is filed under the name uncultured bacterium. Its description in RNAcentral is "bacterial SSU rRNA". It matches the Rfam family "Bacterial small subunit ribosomal RNA", at positions 335 to 788 of the family's 1533-position model. The record is from RNAcentral.